GGAACCGACCGCCGCCGGCCGGGUUGCAGGCGGGGCACCUCGGGCAGGACCUCCCUGGUCGGAAGUGGCCGUGAGCCCAAGCCGCGGUCCCGGGCCGGCACCCAGGAUGGGCGAGGUGGAGGCCCCGGGCCGCUUGUGGCUCGAGAGCCCCCCUGGGGGAGCGCCCCCCAUCUUCCUGCCCUCGGACGGGCAAGCCCUGGUCCUGGGCAGGGGACCCCUGACCCAGGUUACGGACCGGAAGUGCUCCAGAACUCAAGCCUGAAGCAGGCCACACUCCCCAGAAAUGAGGGACCCAAUCACACAAGGAUGCAAAUCCUGACUCCACCCCUCCAAUCCUCAGUGGAGCUGGUCGCAGAUCCUGAGACCCGGACAGUGGCAGUGAAACAGGUAUCAGUGCCUCUGCAAGGGCCAGCAAGGCCUGGGGAUGGGAUUUGGGGAGGAAUUGCAAGCCGUCAGUGAAGGGGUACAUUAGGAAAAUCUGAUUGGGGCCGGGCGUGGUGGCUCAAGCCUGUAAUCCCAGCACUUUGGGAGGCCGAGGCGGGCGGAUCGCUUGAACCCAGGAGUUCGAGACCAGCCUGAGCGACAUGGUGAAACCUGUCUCUCUAAAAAAUUAGCGGGAAUGGUGGCGCGUCCUUGUAGUUCCUA
Molecule: long non-coding RNA, 645 nt
Filed under: Homo sapiens (human)
Lineage: Eukaryota; Metazoa; Chordata; Mammalia; Primates; Hominidae
Description: non-protein coding lnc-AKT1S1-2:1
Source: RNAcentral